UACUCGAGUGGCGAACGGGUGAGUAACACGUGGGCGAUCUGCCCUGCACUUCGGGAUAAGCCUGGGAAACUGGGUCUAAUACCGGAUAGGACGAUGGUUUGGAUGCCAUUGUGGAAAGUUUUUCGGCGUGGGAUGAGCUCGCGGCCUAUCAGCUUGUUGGUGGGGUAAUGGCCUACCAAGGCGUCGACGGGUAGCCGGCCUGAGAGGGUGUACGGCCACAUUGGGACUGAGAUACGGCCCAG
This 242-nucleotide ribosomal RNA is filed under the name uncultured Actinomycetales bacterium. RNAcentral's name for it is "partial 16S ribosomal RNA". It matches the Rfam family "Bacterial small subunit ribosomal RNA", at positions 88 to 334 of the family's 1533-position model. The record is from RNAcentral. Lineage: Bacteria; Bacillati; Actinomycetota; Actinomycetes; Actinomycetales.